RNAcentral lists this long non-coding RNA (483 nucleotides) under Zonotrichia albicollis (white-throated sparrow). RNAcentral describes it as "lncRNA (ENSZALG00000010899.1)". Lineage: Eukaryota; Metazoa; Chordata; Aves; Passeriformes; Passerellidae. The record is from RNAcentral.
CAAUUUCUGUGGGACUCACUAGUCACUAUGUGUUUUGUGUCACACCUACCUGGUAGGUACCCUGCCACCCUGGAGGAUACCUACCUAGAGAUCUGCUAGAGGCUUCUGGUUCUAUUCAUGGGCUUGAAGAAAGCAAUCCAGCAACAAGAACUGCUCAGGAGAUAGCCCUGGCACCAAUCCCUGACAUCCUAGGGGCGACUACACAGUAAUUCUCAUUCUAAAUGCAUCAGGAAGCUCUCCGUCAUACUUCUUUCAAGGUCUUCAGGGCUUCAGCUGCCCCAGAAAGAGGAACAAAAAAGCACACUGAAAACAUUGAAAGAGAGGACUGGAGGAGAAAGAUGAAAGGAGAUGAGUAGGUGUGGGAAAAAGAGACAGAACAAGCACAGCUGUAGAGUCAGAACAGACUACAUAUUUAUUUUCUUUAAAAAGGCAUGUAAAGCUCCUCUGGGAAAGCACUGUCCACUGCCCAAGACAGCAUGCUAG